Long non-coding RNA from Rattus norvegicus (Norway rat), 2511 nucleotides. RefSeq lists it as uncharacterized. Lineage: Eukaryota; Metazoa; Chordata; Mammalia; Rodentia; Muridae. The record is from RefSeq and is a predicted model, not a curated record.
UCAACCUUUCCUUCACAAGUCAUUUUCAGUCAUGGCUUUUAACCACAGGGAUGGUGACUUUAACUAAGAGAAGUGACUACAAACUCGACAAGCAGCUCCUGAUUCUACCACUCUGUGCCAGGAACAGCCGUGGGUGCCACGGGUGUGGAAGUGUCCUACAAAUGGCAACCUGCCCUAGUGAAACUAGGAGUCCACUUUCUGCAACUGGAAGGAAAGACGGAUGUUACUCAGAUAAUUCCACAAAUAUACAAACCAUAGUUAUGGAAGCUUCAUAAAGGAAAGUUGCAGCCAGGCAAUGGUGCAGGCCUGAGUCAUCCUAGAGACUUGGAAUGUUACCACAGGACUUCAGACCCACCUCAGCAACCUGGCUCCCUUACAGCCAGAGUGUCGAGAAGAUGGUCCUUAUGUGAGAACAGCACAUGAACAAGAGGAGAAGCCUCGUCCUGGUCCACAUACCCACUUCUCUCUCUAAGUCCGACUGUUGUUUCCUACUGGCUUCAAGGCCCUUGGCUUCACACCUUGUCAGAAUCCCACCAACCACCGAGUGGUCAAAGAGGCCUCACCUAAAAGGCAAGUCUGUCCAGACACAAGCUAGAAUCCUCUCCCAUUAAGUGCGUGUCCAUGCAGCUCCAGGCUGACCUCCGGUUGUACUCAUCAUCCCUGGGGACCAGGAAACAUGCAGCUUCCAAGGCUUCCUCCAGCCUUGCAGACAGGAACACAAUGCAGAAGGCCUGGAAAUCUCUGCAUUUAGCACUUUUUUCCCUUUUAAACUAGACAGAAAAACAUUCUUACCACUAACAUGGACUGUCCAGUGCUUACCUCUGUGUGCUUUUGUCUGCAAGUUUCGAAGUGGAGAAGAUUUUAAUUGAACUAUCCUGGCACAGAGAAAAGCCCCGCUGUGUCUCUGUGGAGUCUGCAGUCCAGCUCCUUCCCUCUUCUCUACACUGCGUGAUAUUCUUCCUUUGAGGAAAGCAAAAUGGAGCUGGUCACCUGCUCGCACCAUUCUAACAGACUGUGAAACACGCUUUGUGGAGGAGCUGUAUGAAUUGUGGGCAGAGCUAAAGAUACGACUGUGGCAUUUUAACAUACAGGCUCGGCCAUGCCUGGGAUCUCAUUGAAGAUGCUGUUAUGAGAAUUCUUUACAUGAAAAGACUAUGAGCCCAUCAAUGGUAUGUUAAAGGAAAACGAACACAGGGAGGGGGUGAGAACCAAAUCAAAGGGCUGUUCUGCUGAGAUCUGCCUUUUCAUACGUUCCAACUUAAUGAUAGAGUUUUGUCCAACUCCGCUCUGUAACUGCCUUGGAAAUGCUUGCUUUUCUAGCCAAAUACUAAGAUCUUGUAACAUUUUCACCCAAACUCCAACGCACGUGCUCUUCUUGUCCUUUCUGAGAAAAGAUGGGAAUAAGGCUUGGAAAAACGAUGGUCCAUUUCCUCUGCUACCGCUAAACACUUGGGGCUGGUACUCCAGAAUGGAAGUCGGUUUACUUAGCUUACAGUUUCCACAACUGUGUUGUGAUGUGGGAUGGACAGCAUCUGCCCUUACGAAUGAGACCUUGUGUUCCCAUGGAGACAAACAGUUUAGGGGCAGAGGGUUCUCUCGGGAGACAAGGCCCUGCUGCCUCAGUUUUACCAGUGUGGUUAGCUGUGGGAGGAAUCACUGGCCACAGAUGCACAGAGGCGCACUCAGGAUUUAUCGGCUGCCUUUGUGGGGAGCCUUAGCCAUCUGUUUUCCUGAGCCUUUGUUUUUCCGUGUCUCCCCAGACAUUCUCCAUACGCCUGUGAGAAGCAGAAGUGGAGCAGAAAGGGUCUGGGAAUGCAGACAUGGGUCCUGGGUUCCCGGGGCAAGGGCAUGAGGCAGGGGAAUUGUUUUCUUCCAAGGAGCCCUGUCCUGGGCAGAAAGAAGUCAUCACUAAGCUCCUGCUCUGGGUGAUGUUUCCCCUGACAGCGCUGCUCUCCUCACCUGUCUAAACUAAGUAAAGAGGAUCCAAUAUCCACCGCGUGCUGAUCUUUUCAGCAGAUACUCAAAGGAUAAAGCCGGAGUAAUUUAUUAUUCUUCUUUUAAUCCCACAGAGUGCACUGAGAACUUUCAAACAGUAAGACAUUCUUCUGAGAAAAGAGCCCCUCUUAUCAGCUUGGCCCUGUCCAAAAUAACGAUGACUUCACGCUGGCCGGGGCAUCAGGAUGUAUUUGUCCCCCGUCAAUAACGAAUGCUUGGGAUUGCAUUUCACUUCUGCAGAGGGCAAACCUGGAAGCAUGAUAAGCUGCCCUUCUUAAAAGUGCCCCCACAACAGCCCACCUCCCUGUUUAAUUAUGCUCUACCUCUCUCUGAAGAGGAGACAGCCCAACCUCCCUCCACUUCUCUUGGCCCAGCAUUCAGGAGAAGCACUUCAGAAAAAAAAAAAAAAAAAAAACCACAGACAGGCAGCUUAUUUCUUUAGAAGUCAUUUCUUUUAUAAGGUAUAAUAUCUAGGUAGCUGUAGUGAACCUCAUGAACAAAAACUUUAAGUUACUC